AUGGCCGGCACGUGCGCCCACGUCGAAUUCCUCCGCGCGCAGCCGGCGUGGGCGCUGGCCCUCGCGGCCGUCGGCCUCCUCGUCGCCGCCCGCGCCGCCCUGCGCCUCGCCCUCUGGGUCUACGCCGCCUUCCUCCGCCCCGGCAAGCCCCUGCGCCGCCGCUACGGGCCCUGGGCCGUCGUCACCGGCGCCACCGACGGCAUCGGCCGCGCCAUCGCCUUCCGCCUUGCCGCCUCCGGCCUCGGCCUCGUGCUCGUCGGCCGCAACCCGGACAAGCUCGCCGCCGUCUCCGAGGAGAUCAGGGGCAAGUACCCCAAGACCGAGGUCCGCACCUUCGUGCUCGACUUCGCUUCCGAGGGGCUCGCCGCUGGGGUGGAGGCGCUCAAGGACUCCAUCCGGGGCCUCGACGUCGGCGUGCUCGUCAACAACGCCGGGGUCUCGUACCCGUACGCCCGCUACUUCCAUGAGGUGGACGAGGAGCUCAUGCGGAGCCUCAUCCGGGUCAACGUCGAGGGGGUAACGCGGGUCACCCACGCCGUGCUCCCGGGCAUGGUCGACAGGAAGCGUGGCGCAAUCGUCAACAUCGGCUCCGGUGCUGCCUCUGUUGUGCCGUCCGAUCCACUCUACUCCGUCUACGCCGCCACGAAAGCGUACGUUGACCAGUUCUCAAGAUGCCUCUAUGUUGAGUACAAGGGCAAGGGCAUUGAUGUGCAAUGCCAGGUGCCCUUGUACGUGGCGACAAAGAUGGCAUCAAUCAGGAGGUCUUCCUUCCUUGUGCCAUCCGCGGACACCUAUGCUCGUGCUGCUAUUCGCCACAUUGGCUAUGAGCCGAGGUGCACACCGUACUGGCCACACUCUGUUCUGUGGUUCUUGAUCUCCCUUCUCCCAGAGUCACUUGUGGAUAGUACACGCCUCAGCAUGUGCAUCAAGAUCCGCAAGAAGGGGCAGGCUAAGGAUGCCAAGAAGAAAGCGCAGUGA
This 978-nucleotide ribosomal RNA is filed under the name Triticum aestivum (bread wheat). Its description in RNAcentral is "partial small subunit ribosomal RNA". The record is from RNAcentral. Lineage: Eukaryota; Viridiplantae; Streptophyta; Magnoliopsida; Poales; Poaceae.